Molecule: ribosomal RNA, 461 nt
Filed under: uncultured bacterium
Lineage: Bacteria
Description: partial 16S ribosomal RNA
Rfam family: Bacterial small subunit ribosomal RNA
Source: RNAcentral
CCUACGGGUGGCAGCAGUGAGGAAUAUUGGUCAAUGGGCGGGAGCCUGAACCAGCCAAGUCGCGUGAGGGAAGACGGUCCUAUGGAUUGUAAACCUCUUUAGGCGGGGAGCAAUGCCGGGCACGCGUGCCCGGAGGGAGAGUACCCGCAGAAUAAGCAUCGGCUAACUCCGUGCCAGCAGCCGCGGUAAUACGGAGGAUGCGAGCGUUAUCCGGAUUUACUGGGUGUAAAGGGCGUGUAGCCGGGAAGGCAAGUCAGAUGUGAAAUCUGGAGGCUCAACCUCCAAAUUGCAUUUGAAACUGUUUUUCUUGAGUACUGGAGAGGCAGACGGAAUUCCUUGUGUAGCGGUGAAAUGCGUAGAUAUAAGGAGGAACACCAGUGGCGAAGGCGGUCUGCUGGACAGCAACUGACGGUGAGGCGCGAAAGCGUGGGGAGCAAACAGGAUUAGAUACCCGAGUAGUC